Non-coding RNA from Chelonoidis abingdonii (Abingdon island giant tortoise), 100 nucleotides. Lineage: Eukaryota; Metazoa; Chordata; Testudines; Testudinidae. The record is from RefSeq and is a predicted model, not a curated record.
AAGUGGGGCAGCUCUGCCCCUUACCACUCCACUCUGCCAUCUCCCAGCUGCGGCACUCCACUUCCCGCUAUAGGUGAGCGCAGGGAGGUUGGGGAAAGGA